CCUACGGGAGGCUGCAGUGAGGAAUAUUGGUCAAUGGGCGCAAGCCUGAACCAGCCAAGUCGCGUGAGGGAUGACGGUCCUAUGGAUUGUAAACCUCUUUUGUCGGGGAGCAAGGCCAGCCGCGUGUGGCGGGAAGGAGAGUAACGGAAGAAAAAGCAUCAGCUAACGCCGUGCCAGCAGCCGCGGUAAUACGGAGGAUGCGAGCGUUAUCUGGAGUUAUUGGGGUAAAGGGGGGCGUAGGCGGGAGGUUAAGUCAGCGGGAAAGUGUCGGUGCCAAAUAGCGGCCUGCCGUUGAUACUGGUCGUCUUGAGUGAGCGAGAGGUAUGCGGAAUGCGUGGUGUAGCAGUGAAAUGCAUAGAUAUCACGAAGAACUCUGAUUGCGAAGGCAGCUUACCGGCGCUCAACUGACGCUGAGGCACGAAAGCGUGGGGAGCGAACAGGAUUAGAUACCCUAGUAGUC
RNAcentral lists this ribosomal RNA (460 nucleotides) under uncultured bacterium. RNAcentral describes it as "partial 16S ribosomal RNA". It matches the Rfam family "Bacterial small subunit ribosomal RNA", at positions 338 to 795 of the family's 1533-position model. The record is from RNAcentral.